Molecule: long non-coding RNA, 363 nt
Organism: Folsomia candida
Lineage: Eukaryota; Metazoa; Arthropoda; Collembola; Entomobryomorpha; Isotomidae
Exons: 3
Source: RefSeq, a predicted model, not a curated record
UGGAAAGUGUGUAACUUUGAGCCACGUGGUUAUCAACACUCUUCUUCACAAGUUGUGAAUCACAACUCGCUCAACAAUAAUUCCUCAAUUUCAACUAAAAAACUUCCACAGUAAACAAAUUUGAGAAAUAUAAAUCCCCAAAACGCCCACAAAAUCGGGGAUGAACUGCGAUAUCUAGAAAUAAUUUAAACGGCUAAUGAAGCAGAGAUAACUAAUUAUCGUGGUCGAAUACACACAAUGCUUGAUUGUAACCCCUGCCAAGUUAUCGUAUUAAAAUCUGAUUAAAGUUAUUCAAGGCAUCCAAACCCGAAAAAAUCCAUCUGACCCGUGCCAGAUUACUGAAUAUGGACCUCGGAAUAAGAU